RNAcentral lists this ribosomal RNA (1373 nucleotides) under uncultured bacterium. Its description in RNAcentral is "bacterial SSU rRNA". It matches the Rfam family "Bacterial small subunit ribosomal RNA", at positions 28 to 1381 of the family's 1533-position model. The record is from RNAcentral.
GAUGAACGCUGGCGGCGUGCCUAAUACAUGCAAGUCGAGCGAACGGACGAGAAGCUUGCUUCUCUGAUGUUAGCGGCGGACGGGUGAGUAACACGUGGAUAACCUACCUAUAAGACUGGGAUAACUUCGGGAAACCGGAGCUAAUACCGGAUAAUAUUUUGAACCGCAUGGUUCAAAAGUGAAAGACGGUCUUGCUGUCACUUAUAGAUGGAUCCGCGCUGCAUUAGCUAGUUGGUAAGGUAACGGCUUACCAAGGCAACGAUGCAUAGCCGACCUGAGAGGGUGAUCGGCCACACUGGAACUGAGACACGGUCCAGACUCCUACGGGAGGCAGCAGUAGGGAAUCUUCCGCAAUGGGCGAAAGCCUGACGGAGCAACGCCGCGUGAGUGAUGAAGGUCUUCGGAUCGUAAAACUCUGUUAUUAGGGAAGAACAUAUGUGUAAGUAACUGUGCACAUCUUGACGGUACCUAAUCAGAAAGCCACGGCUAACUACGUGCCAGCAGCCGCGGUAAUACGUAGGUGGCAAGCGUUAUCCGGAAUUAUUGGGCGUAAAGCGCGCGUAGGCGGUUUUUUAAGUCUGAUGUGAAAGCCCACGGCUCAACCGUGGAGGGUCAUUGGAAACUGGAAAACUUGAGUGCAGAAGAGGAAAGUGGAAUUCCAUGUGUAGCGGUGAAAUGCGCAGAGAUAUGGAGGAACACCAGUGGCGAAGGCGACUUUCUGGUCUGUAACUGACGCUGAUGUGCGAAAGCGUGGGGAUCAAACAGGAUUAGAUACCCUGGUAGUCCACGCCGUAAACGAUGAGUGCUAAGUGUUAGGGGGUUUCCGCCCCUUAGUGCUGCAGCUAACGCAUUAAGCACUCCGCCUGGGGAGUACGACCGCAAGGUUGAAACUCAAAGGAAUUGACGGGGACCCGCACAAGCGGUGGAGCAUGUGGUUUAAUUCGAAGCAACGCGAAGAACCUUACCAAAUCUUGACAUCCUUUGACAGCUCUAGAGAUAGAGCCUUCCCCUUCGGGGGGGCAAAGUGACAGGUGGUGCAUGGUUGUCGUCAGCUCGUGUCGUGAGAUGUUGGGUUAAGUCCCGCAACGAGCGCAACCCUUAAGCUUAGUUGCCAUCAUUAAGUUGGGCACUCUAAGUUGACUGCCGGUGACAAACCGGAGGAAGGUGGGGAUGACGUCAAAUCAUCAUGCCCCUUAUGAUUUGGGCUACACACGUGCUACAAUGGACAAUACAAAGGGCAGCGAAACCGCGAGGUCAAGCAAAUCCCAUAAAGUUGUUCUCAGUUCGGAUUGUAGUCUGCAACUCGACUACAUGAAGCUGGAAUCGCUAGUAAUCGUAGAUCAGCAUGCUACGGUGAAUACGUUCCCGGGUCU